AUUGAACGCUGGCGGCAGGCCUAACACAUGCAAGUCGAGCGGAUGAAGGUAGCUUGCUACCGGAUUCAGCGGCGGACGGGUGAGUAAUGCCUAGGAAUCUGCCCGGUAAUGGGGGAUAACGUUUCGAAAGGAACGCUAAUACCGCAUACGUCCUACGGGAGAAAGCAGGGGACCUUCGGGCCUUGCGUUAUCGGAUGAGCCUAGGUCGGAUUAGCUAGUUGGUGAGGUAAUGGCUCACCAAGGCGACGAUCCGUAACUGGUCUGAGAGGAUGAUCAGUCACACUGGAACUGAGACACGGUCCAGACUCCUACGGGAGGCAGCAGUGGGGAAUAUUGGACAAUGGGCGAAAGCCUGAUCCAGCCAUGCCGCGUGUGUGAAGAAGGUCUUCGGAUUGUAAAGCACUUUAAGUUGGGAGGAAGGGCAGUCAGUUAAUACCUUGCUGUCUUGACGUUACCAACAGAAUAAGCACCGGCUAACUUCGUG
RNAcentral lists this ribosomal RNA (484 nucleotides) under uncultured bacterium. RNAcentral's name for it is "bacterial SSU rRNA". It matches the Rfam family "Bacterial small subunit ribosomal RNA", at positions 30 to 507 of the family's 1533-position model. The record is from RNAcentral.